This 496-nucleotide ribosomal RNA is filed under the name uncultured bacterium. RNAcentral describes it as "partial 16S ribosomal RNA". It matches the Rfam family "Bacterial small subunit ribosomal RNA", at positions 29 to 507 of the family's 1533-position model. The record is from RNAcentral.
ACGAACGCUGGCGGCGUGCCUCAUACAUGCCAGUUGAGCGCUGAAGGUUGGUACUUGUACCCACUGGAUGAGCAGCGAACGGGUGAGUAACGCGUGGGGAAUCUGCCUUUGAGCGGGGGACAACAUUUGGAAACGAAUGCUAAUACCGCAUAAAAACUUUAAACACAAGUUUUCAGUUUGAAAGAUGCAAUUGCAUCACUCAAAGAUGAUCCCGCGUUGUAUUAGCUAGUUGGUGAGGUAAAGGCUCACCAAGGCGAUGAUACAUAGCCGACCUGAGAGGGUGAUCGGCCACAUUGGGACUGAGACACGGCCCAAACUCCUACGGGAGGCAGCAGUAGGGAAUCUUCGGCAAUGGACGAAAGUCUGACCGAGCAACGCCGCGUGAGUGAAGAAGGUUUUCGGAUCGUAAAACUCUGUUGGUAGAGAAGAACGUUGGUGAGAGUGGAAAGCUCAUCAAGUGACGGUAACUACCCAGAAAGGGACGGCUAACUACGUG